GGCCGGUCGGGGCUUGCGCCCCAGCAGUCCGCACGCCAGGUGGAAGUGCUUGUGAGGUCGGGCUCCGCCCUUGCGCCCCAGCAGGCCUCGCGUCAGGUGGAAGUGCUCGCGAGGUUUCCCAGGGCCACGCGGUAGCCGUGCAGGGGCGGGGUGGGGUUUACGACGGUGGCCGGGGCUGGGGAGCCGUGACAACUUGCUGGGCGCCAGGUAGGCCUGGAGGCCGUGAACUCGUGGUGGUCCGCCCAGGCUGGUAGGCCCAGCUAGGGCAUGGGCACGGGACCGACACGGCGCCGAGCGCAGUACUGGGCCUUCUUGCUCACGUGAGUCCCUGGAGCCUCCUUGGCCUCGCGGUUGGGCAAGCGCUCCGGCUGCUUCGCCUCUGGGCCGGCCGACCGACAAGGUUUCCCUGCUGAUUGAUUCUCUCUUCUCUGUCUGUCACUCCUUCUGAGGUAAACUCAUUAAGCCAAAUAACUCCGUACAUUUUAUUUGCAACCAGAUUCCUCACUUCAGCAGCUUACACAUUGCUGAAGUUGGCCACCAGCCCUCAGAAUAUAUAAUCUUAGGGUUUCAGUGUCCCAAACCCUGUGAAUAUGUCUGACACCGUUAGAAAGAUUGAUUGGAAGAAAAUUAGAUUGGCCAUUGGCCAACCAGUAAACUGAUUAGCUUUAAAUCGAAUAUCUAUUCUUGUCCAAUCAGUAAUGGCCAGAAGGAGAGGCCUCUAGACCCGCUGUCAGUCAACAGAUAACUGUGGGCCAGAGCUAACUUCUCUGAACAGGAGGCACAGAAAAGACAGAGUAGAUUCAUGCGCCAAAGCCACUUCAGUUACGCAUGGAAGCAUUUGUGUUUCUUCUUGGAAACUUGCUUACGCUUCGGCCUCACAGUUUGGACUGGUUCUCGAGUUUACACAGCCUCUUCUGCUUUUCUAAUUGUGUAGUGAAAAGAGAGACAUGUUGGGCCCCAGAAGGACAUUUAUUUCAAAAUGCUCAAAUAAUUUGUCUGCUUCUGUCAGAAGAGGAGGAGGGGAAAGAGGAAGAGGAAGAAAAGGAGGGAAGGAAAUGAGAAUGGAGCCAAUUGACUGUUAGUUUUGGAAAGAAAAGCUUAUACCACAUGCCCAUGAGAGACUUUAAUGUCUUUUAGCUAAAGCUGGGCUCCAAGGCCAAAUUUAGAAUAGUGUGCUUCCUAUUCCACAGGCUCCAAACCAAAUGACUAUAUGAAAACAUCUCAUGAUAAAGCUUUCAUGAUUUAGUAAUGUUUCAUUUCAAUUAUUUUCAAGUACCACAAGAGAAAAAUAAAGACUAACCUAGGCCUUUAAAUGUCAAGCUCAAAUCUGUACUAGGAUAAAAGAUAGGAUUUUUCUGGACCCUAGAAUACCAUGAGUCGGCCAGUGAUACAGAAACUCAUGAAAGUAUUCACUGUAUGACACCCAUGACAGUUUGAAAGACAUGGACAAACUAUGGACACUGUGUUGUCCUGGAGAAAAUGUUGGUCGUGAUUAAAAUAAAUUGAAUUUUCAAAUAGUAAUUAGCUUAGGAAGCUGUGUUUUUGUGUAACAUGUAGAUCUGUCUAUAAUGAUUCAUG
Long non-coding RNA from Equus caballus (horse), 1578 nucleotides. NCBI's taxonomy places the organism in Eukaryota, Metazoa, Chordata, Mammalia, Perissodactyla, Equidae. The record is from Ensembl.